This is a ribosomal RNA of Pteropus vampyrus (large flying fox), 125 nucleotides long. The record is from Ensembl. Lineage: Eukaryota; Metazoa; Chordata; Mammalia; Chiroptera; Pteropodidae.
GUCUAUGGCCAUGCCACUCUGAACAUGCUGGAUCUUGUCUGAUCUUGGAAGCUAAGCAGGAUUGGGCUUGCUUAGUUAGUACUUGGAUGAGAAACCACCUAGGAAGACCAGGUGCGCUAUAGGUG